CCCAUUAUUCUGUCAUACAUCAACCCAUCUGUCAGCCUGCAACAGAUGGUUAAAAUGAAGAAGUUCUAAAAUACCAAGGAGGAAAUUACCGUGCACUUCACCAGCCAUAGCUUAAAUCCACUCUGACUUCAGAAAUUCCUUUGCCAUUUCCCUCCUCAUCAUACCAAGUGAAAAUCAAAGAUUCUGUAUCUGCUGCAAGCAAGAUUUGAGCAGAUGCCUAAGGACAGAAGGAAGACCGACAUGAAAAAGCAACAACAUGUGGGGAGCAGCUUGGCUGGAUGCUACACGGGGAGCCUCCCGAAGCUCCUCCUCCCAUGCCUCCCCUCCAGCCUUCCUUGGGGACAGUGUACGGUGGUGGCUGCCAGCCCAGGCCCUGGAUCGGACAGUUCUGGCUUCACUUCUGGCUCAGCCAUUCACCAUCCAUGCUACUUACCUUGGGCCUCACUUGGAAUGGGAAUAAACACACUUAGC
Molecule: long non-coding RNA, 471 nt
Organism: Manis pentadactyla (Chinese pangolin)
Lineage: Eukaryota; Metazoa; Chordata; Mammalia; Pholidota; Manidae
Exons: 3
Source: RefSeq, a predicted model, not a curated record